ACGUACGCUGGCGGCACGCCUAACACAUGCAAGUCGAACGAAGUAGCAAUACUUAGUGGCAGACGGGUGAGUAACAUGUAGGUAUCUGCCCUUUGGCCUGGAAUAACACGAGGAAACUUGUGCUAAUACCGGAUAAGUCUUUACGGAGAAAGCUUUAUGCACCAUUGGAUGAGCCUGCACUUGAUUAGUUUGUUGGUGGGGUAAUGGCCUACCAAGACUGUGAUCAAUAGCUGAUUUGAGAGGAUGAUCAGCCACAUUGGGACUGAGACACGGCCCAAACUCCUACGGGAGGCAGCAGUGGGGAAUCUUGCACAAUGGAGGAAACUCUGAUGCAGCGAUGCCGCGUGAGUGAAGAAGGCCCUUGGGUUGUAAAGCUCUUUCGUCGGGGAAGAAAAUGACUGUACCCGAAUAAGAAGGUCCGGCUAACUUCGUGCCAGCAGCCGCGGUAAUACGAAGGGACCUAGCGUAGUUCGGAAUUACUGGGCUUAAAGAGUUCGUAGGUGGUUGAAAUAGUUGGUGGUGAAAUCCCAGAGCUUAACUCUGGAACUGCCAUCAAAACUUUUCAGCUAGAGUAUGAUAGAGGAAAGCAGAAUUUCUAGUGUAGAGGUGAAAUUCGUAGAUAUUAGAAAGAAUACCAAUUGCGAAGGCAGCUUUCUGGAUCAUUACUGACACUGAGGAACGAAAGCAUGGGUAGCGAAGAGGAUUAGAUACCCUCGUAGUCCAUGCCGUAAACGAUGUGUGUUAGACGUUGGAAAUUUAUUUUCAGUGUCGCAGGGAAACCGAUAAACACACCGCCUGGGGAGUACGACCGCAAGGUUAAAACUCAAAUGAAUUGACGGGGACCCGCACAAGUAGUGGAGCAUGUGGUUUAAUUCGAAGAUACGCGCAGAACCUUACCAACACUUGACAUGUUCGUCGCGACUCUAAGAGAUUAGAGUUUUCGGUUCGGCCGGACGAAACACAGGUGCUGCAUGGCUGUCGUCAGCUCGUGUCGUGAGAUGUUGGGUUAAGUCCCGCAACGAGCGCAACCCUCACUUUUAGUUGCCAUCAUUAAGUUGGGCACUCUGAAAGAACUGCCAGUGAUAAGCUGGAGGAAGGUGGGGAUGACGUCAAGUCCUCAUGGCCCUUACGUGUUGGGCUACACACGUGCUACAAUGGUAUCUACAACAGGAAGCAAGACUGCGAAGUUAAGCAAAUCCCUAAAAGAUACCUCAGUUCGGAUUGCACUCUGCAACUCGAGUGCAUGAAGCUGGAAUUACUAGUAAUCGUGGAUCAGCGUGCCACGGUGAAUGCGUUCCCGGGUCUUGCACACACCGCCCCGUCAAGGGCGAA
Molecule: ribosomal RNA, 1332 nt
Filed under: uncultured Alphaproteobacteria bacterium
Lineage: Bacteria; Pseudomonadati; Pseudomonadota; Alphaproteobacteria
Description: bacterial SSU rRNA
Rfam family: Bacterial small subunit ribosomal RNA
Source: RNAcentral